Molecule: unclassified non-coding RNA, 327 nt
Filed under: Cryptocarya obovata
Lineage: Eukaryota; Viridiplantae; Streptophyta; Magnoliopsida; Laurales; Lauraceae
Description: partial miscellaneous RNA
Source: RNAcentral
UUCGGUCUUARWRUAUACGAGUCGUUGAAGGAUCAAUACCAAACUUCUUGAUAAAACAAGAAGUUUGGUAUUGAUCUGUUUGAUUCAGUAGUGGUUUAUUCGCAUAGGCAUCUUUCAUUUUCAUUUCUUUUAUUCAACUUAAGAAAAGAAAACGUGUUGGUUAGUUCAUGAUCGAAUAUCGUAGUUUCUUCUGUACCAAUCUGUAAUUUCAUUUAUGUACUACGUUCCUCAAAGUUCCUCAAAAUCAUUUGAUUUUUUCCUAUAKAGAAUUUUUCUUAUUUUACAGGAUUGACAUUUUAUGUACAAUAUCUCUAUCUCARUAUGAAG